AGGGGGAUAGCGUAGUAGUAGAAGCGCUUAAAAGGCCUUGCUUUAUCGGCGAGGUCGUAGGUUUAAAUCCCGCUCCCCUUA
RNAcentral lists this transfer RNA (81 nucleotides) under Ophiocordyceps sinensis CO18. It matches the Rfam family "tRNA". Rfam says of the family: Transfer RNA (tRNA) molecules are approximately 80 nucleotides in length. Their secondary structure includes four short double-helical elements and three loops (D, anti-codon, and T loops). Lineage: Eukaryota; Fungi; Ascomycota; Sordariomycetes; Hypocreales; Ophiocordycipitaceae. The record is from Rfam by way of RNAcentral.